GGGAAUGCUAUACUGGCAGUUCGAGCGAGCUUGGCUAGAUGAUUUUAGUGCUUGCACUAAAUGAAACUAGAUACAAGCGAGCGGCGGACGGGUGAGUAACACGUGGGUAACCUGCCCAAGAGACUGGGAUAACACCUGGAAACAGAUGCUAUACCGGAUAACAACACUAGACGCAUGUCUAGAGUUUGAAAGAUGGUUCUGCUAUCACUCUUGGAUGGACCUGCGGUGCAUUAGCUAGUUGGUAAGGUAACGGCUUACCAAGGCAAUGAUGCAUAGCCGAGUUGAGAGACUGAUCGGCCACAUUGGGACUGAGACACGGCCCAAACUCCUACGGGAGGCAGCAGUAGGGAAUCUUCCACAAUGGACGAAAGUCUGAUGGAGCAACGCCGCGUGAGUGAAGAAGGGUUUCGGCUCGUAAAGCUCUGUUGGUAGUGAAGAAAGAUAGAGGUAGUAACUGGCCUUUAUUUGACGGUAAUUACUUAGAAAGUCACGGCUAACUACGUGCCAGCAGCCGCGGUAAUACGUAGGUGGCAAGCGUUGUCCGGAUUUAUUGGGCGUAAAGCGAGUGCAGGCGGUUCAAUAAGUCUGAUGUGAAAGCCUUCGGCUCAACCGGAGAAUUGCAUCAGAAACUGUUGAACUUGAGUGCAGAAGAGGAGAGUGGAACUCCAUGUGUAGCGGUGGAAUGCGUAGAUAUAUGGAAGAACACCAGUGGCGAAGGCGGCUCUCUGGUCUGCAACUGACGCUGAGGCU
This 750-nucleotide ribosomal RNA is filed under the name uncultured bacterium. RNAcentral's name for it is "bacterial SSU rRNA". It matches the Rfam family "Bacterial small subunit ribosomal RNA", at positions 40 to 753 of the family's 1533-position model. The record is from RNAcentral.